Molecule: ribosomal RNA, 305 nt
Filed under: uncultured bacterium
Lineage: Bacteria
Description: bacterial SSU rRNA
Rfam family: Bacterial small subunit ribosomal RNA
Source: RNAcentral
CUCUCCUACGGGGGCAGCAGUGAGGAAUAUUGGUCAAUGGUCGGGAGACUGAACCAGCCAAGCCGCGUGAGGGAGGAAGGUACAGAGUAUCGUAAACCUCUUUUGUCAGGGAACAAAGGCGGGGACGUGUCCCCGGAUGAGUGUACCUGAAGAAAAAGCAUCGGCUAACUCCGUGCCAGCGGCCGCGGUAAUACGGAGGAUGCGAGCGUUAUCCGGAUUUAUUGGGUUUAAAGGGUGCGCAGGCGGUCUGUUAAGUCAGCGGUCAAAGCCCGGGGCUCAACACCGGCCUGCCGUUGAAACUGGUC